GCUGGGCAUGGUGGUUCAUGCCUGUAAUCCCAGCUGCUUGGGGGGCUGAGGCAGGAGGAUUGCAAGUUCAACACAAGCCUCAGCAAAAGUGAGGUGCUAAGCAACUCAGUGAGACCCUGUCUGUA
Molecule: small RNA, 125 nt
Filed under: Marmota monax (woodchuck)
Lineage: Eukaryota; Metazoa; Chordata; Mammalia; Rodentia; Sciuridae
Source: RNAcentral